This 1398-nucleotide ribosomal RNA is filed under the name uncultured bacterium. Its description in RNAcentral is "bacterial SSU rRNA". It matches the Rfam family "Bacterial small subunit ribosomal RNA". The record is from RNAcentral.
AGAGUUUGAUCCUGGCUCAGGACGAACGCUAGCUACAGGCUUAACACAUGCAAGUCGAGGGGCAGCAUGGUCUUAGCUUGCUAAGACUGAUGGCGACCGGCGCACGGGUGAGUAACACGUAUCCAACCUGCCGUCUACUCUUGGACAGCCUUCUGAAAGGAAGAUUAAUACAAGAUGGCAUCAUGAGUCCGCAUGUUCACAUGAUUAAAGGUAUUCCGGUAGACGAUGGGGAUGCGUUCCAUUAGAUAGUAGGCGGGGUAACGGCCCACCUAGUCUUCGAUGGAUAGGGGUUCUGAGAGGAAGGUCCCCCACAUUGGAACUGAGACACGGUCCAAACUCCUACGGGAGGCAGCAGUGAGGAAUAUUGGUCAAUGGGCGAGAGCCUGAACCAGCCAAGUAGCGUGAAGGAUGACUGCCCUAUGGGUUGUAAACUUCUUUUAUAAAGGAAUAAAGUCGGGUAUGGAUACCCGUUUGCAUGUACUUUAUGAAUAAGGAUCGGCUAACUCCGUGCCAGCAGCCGCGGUAAUACGGAGGAUCCGAGCGUUAUCCGGAUUUAUUGGGUUUAAAGGGAGCGUAGAUGGAUGUUUAAGUCAGUUGUGAAAGUUUGCGGCUCAACCGUAAAAUUGCAGUUGAUACUGGAUAUCUUGAGUGCAGUUGAGGCAGGCGGAAUUCGUGGUGUAGCGGUGAAAUGCUUAGAUAUCACGAAGAACUCCGAUUGCGAAGGCAGCCUGCUAAGCUGCAACUGACAUUGAGGCUCGAAAGUGUGGGUAUCAAACAGGAUUAGAUACCCUGGUAGUCCACACGGUAAACGAUGAAUACUCGCUGUUUGCGAUAUACAGCAAGCGGCCAAGCGAAAGCGUUAAGUAUUCCACCUGGGGAGUACGCCGGCAACGGUGAAACUCAAAGGAAUUGACGGGGGCCCGCACAAGCGGAGGAACAUGUGGUUUAAUUCGAUGGUACGCGAGGAACCUUACCCGGGCUUAAAUUGCAGAUGAAUUACGGUGAAAGCCGUAAGCCGCAAGGCAUCUGUGAAGGUGCUGCAUGGUUGUCGUCAGCUCGUGCCGUGAGGUGUCGGCUUAAGUGCCAUAACGAGCGCAACCCUUGUUGUCAGUUACUAACAGGUUCCGCUGAGGACUCUGACAAGACUGCCAUCGUAAGAUGUGAGGAAGGUGGGGAUGACGUCAAAUCAGCACGGCCCUUACGUCCGGGGCUACACACGUGUUACAAUGGGGGGUACAGAGGGCCGCUACCACGCGAGUGGAUGCCAAUCCCCAAAACCUCUCUCAGUUCGGACUGGAGUCUGCAACCCGACUCCACGAAGCUGGAUUCGCUAGUAAUCACGCAUCAGCCACGGCGCGGUGAAUACGUUCCCGGGCCUUGCACACACCGCCCGUCAAG